AUUGAACGCUGGCGGCAGGCCUAACACAUGCAAGUCGAGCGGAUGAAGGGAGCUUGCUCCUGGAUUCAGCGGCGGACGGGUGAGUAAUGCCUAGGAAUCUGCCUGGUAGUGGGGGAUAACGUCCGGAAACGGGCGCUAAUACCGCAUACGUCCUGAGGGAGAAAGUGGGGGAUCUUCGGACCUCACGCUAUCAGAUGAGCCUAGGUCGGAUUAGCUAGUUGGUGGUGUAAAGGCCUACCAAGGCGACGAUCCGUAACUGGUCUGAGAGGAUGAUCAGUCACACUGGAACUGAGACACGGUCCAGAAUCCUACGGGAGGCAGCAGUGGGGAAUAUUGGACAAUGGGCGAAAGCCUGAUCCAGCCAUGCCGCGUGUGUGAAGAAGGUCUUCGGAUUGUAAAGCACUUUAAGUUGGGAGGAAGGGCAGUAAGUUAAUACCUUGCUGUUUUGACGUUACCAACAGAAUAAGCACCGGCUAACUUCGUG
This 484-nucleotide ribosomal RNA is filed under the name uncultured bacterium. Its description in RNAcentral is "partial 16S ribosomal RNA". It matches the Rfam family "Bacterial small subunit ribosomal RNA", at positions 30 to 507 of the family's 1533-position model. The record is from RNAcentral.